Molecule: ribosomal RNA, 254 nt
Filed under: uncultured bacterium
Lineage: Bacteria
Description: partial 16S ribosomal RNA
Rfam family: Bacterial small subunit ribosomal RNA
Source: RNAcentral
UACGGGGGGAGCAAGCGUUGUUCGGCUUUACUGGGCGUAAAGGGCGCGUAGGCGGUCAGCACAAGUCAGUUGUGAAAUCUCCGGGCUUAACUCGGAAAGGUCAACUGAUACUGUGCGACUAGAGUGCGGAAGGGGCAACUGGAAUUCUCGGUGUAGCGGUGAAAUGCGUAGAUAUCGAGAGGAACACCUGCGGCGAAGGCGGGUUGCUGGGCCGACACUGACGCUGAUGCGCGAAAGCCAGGGGAGCGAACGGG